GACUUCUCUGGUUAAAUCUUCCUCUUUAGAAAGUUCAUGUAUCUUACUUGCUGGAUUCUAGUCUUGUGUUUCCUCUCUUUGCUGUUGAUAUGUACUAGAAGCAUUGUAAAAUAUUGGGGCAUUUCCCUGGACCAUGCAGAAAACUUAUGUUUGUAAUCUUGAAAAUCUUAGGAAAUUUCUCUACUGAAAAGAUAUCCAAGUAAGAAAGCAUCCGAACAAUUUUUACAUACUUUGGGGGAAAAAGUCGAUCUUUACCAAAUAUAUGAAUGUUCUUCUUUAAAAAAAAAUAAUUCUUCUUCAAAACAUUUGAAUGUUAGAGGUUGAAAUGAACAAGGAAAGAUAGUAAGUUUUACACUAUUCAUUGUGUUCCUUGGCCAAUGUUGAAGCAUUGGUUGUCGAGCAACCAAUUCACUUGCCAUUUGUCAAAAUUACUAUUUAGUAUCUACAUGGCAUGAAUUUGGAAUUCCUUCUAAAGAAUGAAAGUCUUCUGGCUCUACUGGAUUUUAUUUUACAGGAACCUUCAAGAAUUUUUUGCUCUCAACCCUGUAAAAGCUGUUUGUUCUUGUUUGGAUAUGUUUCUAAUCUUAGGAAAUUUCUCUACUGAAAAGAUAUCCAAGUAAGAAAGCAUCCGAACAAUUUUUACAUACUUUGGAGGAAAAAGUCAAUCUUUACCAAAUAUAUGAAUGUUCUUCUUUAAAAAAAAAAUAAUUCU
This is a non-coding RNA of Nicotiana tabacum (common tobacco), 712 nucleotides long. Lineage: Eukaryota; Viridiplantae; Streptophyta; Magnoliopsida; Solanales; Solanaceae. The record is from RefSeq and is a predicted model, not a curated record.